GGAGAAGCCUGAGCCCCGCGUCCCUGGGCUGCCCCGGGCUGCGCGCCCAAGCUCCAGAGCCGCUGCUGCACCCGGAGGACCUGGAGGUGCCCCGACCGACUGCGCGCCCAUCCGCUGUGAGCUCUUUCUGACACCUGCGAGGACCCCCACCCCCCCACCCCGCGCAACCCCAUCUUGUAGUCCAGCUUGGCUGCCAGCAGGGAUGAAGGAACCUCACUGAUGGUCCGGGCGAGUAUCUUGCGCUGGGGACCAGCACGGUCACCCUGGCACCCAAUGGCAGGAGGAGUCGGGUACAAACGUUCAUUGAUACAAAUGAGUAAAUAAACACGCCCGAGUGAUCGCGGCUACCUUUUCAGCA
This is a non-coding RNA of Heterocephalus glaber (naked mole-rat), 358 nucleotides long. NCBI's taxonomy places the organism in Eukaryota, Metazoa, Chordata, Mammalia, Rodentia, Bathyergidae. The record is from RefSeq and is a predicted model, not a curated record.